RNAcentral lists this ribosomal RNA (497 nucleotides) under uncultured bacterium. RNAcentral's name for it is "partial 16S ribosomal RNA". It matches the Rfam family "Bacterial small subunit ribosomal RNA", at positions 28 to 507 of the family's 1533-position model. The record is from RNAcentral.
GAUGAACGCUGGCGGCGUGCCUAAUACAUGCAAGUCGAGCGAACGGACGCGACGCUUGCUUCUCUGAUGUUAGCGGCGGACGGGUGAGUAACACGUGGAUAACCUCCCUGUAAGACUGGGAUCAUUUCGGGAAACCGGCGCUAAUACCGGAUGAUCUUUUGAACCGCAUGGUUCCAUAGUGAAAGACGGUCUUGCUGUCACUUAUCGCUGGAUCCGCGCUGCUUUAGCUAGUUGGUACGGUACCGGGCUACCAAGGCAACGAUGCAUAGCCGAACUGUGAGGGUGGUAGGCCACCCUGGAAGUUGAACACGGACCAGAGUCCUGCGGGAGGCAGCAGUAGGGAAUCUUCCGCAGUAGGCGAAAGCCUGGCGGAGUAACGCGGCGUGAGUGAUGAAGGUCUUCCGAUCGUAAAACUCUGUUAUGAGGGAAGAACAUAUUUGUAAUGAACUGUGCAGAUCUUGACGGUACCGAAUCAGAAAGCCACGGCUAACUACGUG